Molecule: unclassified non-coding RNA, 253 nt
Filed under: uncultured Bacteriovoracaceae bacterium
Lineage: Bacteria; Pseudomonadati; Bdellovibrionota; Bacteriovoracia; Bacteriovoracales; Bacteriovoracaceae
Description: contains 16S-23S intergenic spacer region
Rfam family: Bacterial small subunit ribosomal RNA
Source: RNAcentral
UACGAAGGGUGCAAGCGUUGUUCGGAUUUAUUGGGCGUAAAGCGCGCGCAGGCGGAUAGGUAAGUCAGGUGUGAAAUCUCGGAGCUCAACUCCGAAACUGCGCCUGAAACUGCUUGUCUAGAAUCUCGGAGGGGGUUGGGGAAUUUCGCAUGUAGGGGUAAAAUCCGUAGAGAUGCGAAGGAACACCAGAGGCGAAGGCGCCAACCUGGACGAGUAUUGACGCUGAGGCGCGAAAGCGUGGGGAGCAAACAGG